RNAcentral lists this long non-coding RNA (205 nucleotides) under Homo sapiens (human). Its description in RNAcentral is "HSALNT0159255". Lineage: Eukaryota; Metazoa; Chordata; Mammalia; Primates; Hominidae. The record is from RNAcentral.
CUUACAGCUUCUCGGAGACACAGCUUCUUCAGUUCCUCCAGCCUCUGACGCAGGGUUUCCUCCAGAGCUUCCUGCCUGGACUUCAAGGCAGCCAGCAUGUCCUUCUUGGCCGACUGCGAGCUAUCUGAUUCCUGAGAACCUGUCGAUAAACAGUGGGGUUACUUGGCCAGCUGACAGGGGACACACAUCUGGACCACUAAUGAAU